GGCAAUGCGUAUAUCAAAUUGGCUUGCCUCCCCCACCCAUUCAUGAGGAAGUAGCAUUUUUACGAUGUAAAAAUAGCGGAUUCCGAAUGAUUGGAGCAUUGCGAGAGUUGCGAAGCAACGUAGCAAUGCGUAUUUCC
RNAcentral lists this small RNA (137 nucleotides) under Butyrivibrio sp. INlla21. RNAcentral's name for it is "Clostridiales-1 RNA". It matches the Rfam family "Clostridiales-1 RNA". The record is from RNAcentral. Lineage: Bacteria; Bacillati; Bacillota; Clostridia; Lachnospirales; Lachnospiraceae.